GAGACACUGGUUCUCGUACGAUCACCGAAGUUAAGCAACGCCGAGCCUGGUAAGUAUGGGUGACCGCUUGGAAAUACCAGGUGCUGUCAG
Acanthosepion pharaonis is the source of this 90-nucleotide non-coding RNA. NCBI's taxonomy places the organism in Eukaryota, Metazoa, Mollusca, Cephalopoda, Sepiida, Sepiidae. The record is from the annotation of a GenBank genome assembly.